UACAGAGACCUCAAGCGUUAUCCGGAAUCAUUGGGCGUAAAGCGUACCGAUAGGUGGUUUUACAAGUCAGAGGUGAAAUCUCUCAGCUUAACUGGGAGACUGUCCUUUGAAACUGUAAAACUAGAGGGGCAAAGAGGAAGCUAGAACUAACGGUGUAGGGGUAACAUCCGUUGAUCUCGUUAGGAAUACCAAUAGCGAAGGCAGGCUUCUGGGUGCCACCUGACACUUCUAGGACGAAAGCGUGGGGAGCAAAAAGG
This 257-nucleotide ribosomal RNA is filed under the name uncultured bacterium. Its description in RNAcentral is "partial 16S ribosomal RNA". It matches the Rfam family "Bacterial small subunit ribosomal RNA", at positions 524 to 776 of the family's 1533-position model. The record is from RNAcentral.